This 849-nucleotide ribosomal RNA is filed under the name Vibrio sp. R3. RNAcentral's name for it is "bacterial SSU rRNA". It matches the Rfam family "Bacterial small subunit ribosomal RNA", at positions 200 to 1048 of the family's 1533-position model. The record is from RNAcentral. Lineage: Bacteria; Pseudomonadati; Pseudomonadota; Gammaproteobacteria; Vibrionales; Vibrionaceae.
ACCUUCGGGCCUCUCGCGUCAGGAUAUGCCUAGGUGGGAUUAGCUAGUUGGUGAGGUAAGGGCUCACCAAGGCGACGAUCCCUAGCUGGUCUGAGAGGAUGAUCAGCCACACUGGAACUGAGACACGGUCCAGACUCCUACGGGAGGCAGCAGUGGGGAAUAUUGCACAAUGGGCGCAAGCCUGAUGCAGCCAUGCCGCGUGUGUGAAGAAGGCCUUCGGGUUGUAAAGCACUUUCAGUCGUGAGGAAGGUAGUGUAGUUAAUAGCUGCAUUAUUUGACGUUAGCGACAGAAGAAGCACCGGCUAACUCCGUGCCAGCAGCCGCGGUAAUACGGAGGGUGCGAGCGUUAAUCGGAAUUACUGGGCGUAAAGCGCAUGCAGGUGGUUUGUUAAGUCAGAUGUGAAAGCCCGGGGCUCAACCUCGGAAUAGCAUUUGAAACUGGCAGACUAGAGUACUGUAGAGGGGGGUAGAAUUUCAGGUGUAGCGGUGAAAUGCGUAGAGAUCUGAAGGAAUACCGGUGGCGAAGGCGGCCCCCUGGACAGAUACUGACACUCAGAUGCGAAAGCGUGGGGAGCAAACAGGAUUAGAUACCCUGGUAGUCCACGCCGUAAACGAUGUCUACUUGGAGGUUGUGGCCUUGAGCCGUGGCUUUCGGAGCUAACGCGUUAAGUAGACCGCCUGGGGAGUACGGUCGCAAGAUUAAAACUCAAAUGAAUUGACGGGGGCCCGCACAAGCGGUGGAGCAUGUGGUUUAAUUCGAUGCAACGCGAAGAACCUUACCUACUCUUGACAUCCAGAGAACUUUCCAGAGAUGGAUUGGGCCUUCGGAACUCUAGACCGGUCGCUCGG